GCUCAGUACCUCUUCAAUAAUCUGCCCUUAGGUCUGGGAUAGCCUUGGGAAACUGAGGGUAAAACCGGAUAGAUAACUACAACUGGAAUGUGUUGUUAUCUAAAAGCAAUGCCUAAGGAUGAGUUGGCGGCUGAUUAGCUUGUUGGUAGUGUAAAGGACUACCAAGGCUACAAUCAGUAGGGGCCGUGAGAGCGGAAGCCCCGAGAAGGGUACUGAGACACUGACCCUAGCCCUACGGGGUGCAGCAGGCGCGGAACCUCUACAAUGCACGUAAGUGUGAUAGGGGGACCCUGAGUGCUUAUGCUCAGCAUAGGCUUUUGCCAAGGGUAAAUACCUUGGCGAAUAAGUGAUGGGUAAGACUGGUGCCAGCAGCCGCGGUAACACCAGCGUCACGAGUGGCAAUCAUAAUUAUUGGGUCUAAAGCGUUCGUAGCCUGUUAAGUAAGUCUUUUGUGAAAUUGUUGUCCUUAAUGCAACAGCGUGCAAAAGAUACUGCUUGACUUGGGACCGGGAGGAGUAGUGAGUAUGCAGGGGGGAGCGGUAAAAUGCUAUAAUCCCUCGUAAACUACCUGUGGCGAAGGCCCACUACUAAAAGGUAUCCGAAGGUGAAAAACAAAAAGCAGGG
RNAcentral lists this ribosomal RNA (624 nucleotides) under uncultured archaeon. Its description in RNAcentral is "bacterial SSU rRNA". It matches the Rfam family "Archaeal small subunit ribosomal RNA", at positions 88 to 716 of the family's 1478-position model. The record is from RNAcentral.